UAGCAAUUGCAGAGCUACCUCGGUAAAUA
RNAcentral lists this small RNA (29 nucleotides) under Bombyx mori (domestic silkworm). Its description in RNAcentral is "ovarian small RNA-22235". The record is from RNAcentral. Lineage: Eukaryota; Metazoa; Arthropoda; Insecta; Lepidoptera; Bombycidae.